GCCAGAGGCUGGUGACAGCAGCAGCUGGUAGGAAGGAUGCAAGAGACCCAGCGCCGGGAGAUCACCGACCCUCCGGGCGCUGCGCUCCAGGUCCUGAACUCACUUCCGCGCUCGCUCCCCAGGAGCUAGUCUUGGAUGCAGUUGCCCGUGUGUGGGGAUCCACCCAGCGGCACCUUCCCCCCACCUCCACCACGGCAGCCAUGAGGCCUGACGCACAGCCACAAGGAUAGGUCUGUUCUGAGCCCCACCUUCAGAGACUGCUUCUGUCUUCACUCGGGGAGAGCACGUUCAGAGAAGGAAGAAACCACACCCAGGAGGGUGAAUGCCUUACAGCCAAUUGCUCAGGGAAUCUAAAGAGCUUUUGAAGUAGCAGGUGGCAGCCUGAGAGCCUUUGAACCAGCUUCUACUUACUUACUGGCUAAAGAGAAAUCCGGUUUUAAUCGAAGAGAAAAUCUUCAGAGGUGUCUGGGGGCACCAGGGCCUCUUAGAACCUGUCUCCCCAAGGUCUGUAUCCGUUAGCAGCCAUUCCAACCGAUUCCUCUUAAAGUGGCAGCAAGUCACCGACAGAGGGUUGUGUUGACCAACAGCCACAGACUUUUGUUUCUCAAACCAAACCUGAUGAAAUAUCACUUGAGACCCUUCUACAUCUUGACACGAGUUCACCCUGGAAUUUUCCCUACUGCUAGACGUGUUAGGGACCUUCUUUUUGUGAAUCGGUGAAUCGAUUUCUCUAGCCUUUUUUUUAUUUAAAAAAAUUUCAUUGGCGUAUA
Molecule: non-coding RNA, 770 nt
Organism: Sus scrofa (pig)
Lineage: Eukaryota; Metazoa; Chordata; Mammalia; Artiodactyla; Suidae
Source: RefSeq, a predicted model, not a curated record